Molecule: long non-coding RNA, 1295 nt
Filed under: Homo sapiens (human)
Lineage: Eukaryota; Metazoa; Chordata; Mammalia; Primates; Hominidae
Description: long intergenic non-protein coding RNA 2932
Source: RNAcentral
GACUUUGAGAGUUCCGCUUAUGGCUGCAGGGUCAACCAAUUUGUUGUUGGGACCCUGGAGCUGAAUGGCUUUCCUGUCUGUCGAUCCUUGGCUCAGCCCAGAAGUACAGGAAAAGCGGAAGCUGGUUCCAGACAAACCAACGCUCUCAACUCUGAAGAGUCAGGAGUUGUUAGAGAGCCUUUUCUCAGAAAGCCUGACACCCGUGUCUUUAGUCUGGCAUCCAUGCUAGUCACUUUUAACUGGCCAAUAGGUGCCUGGUAUUUAGUCCCCAAAUUCUAAGGAAAAAUAAGACAGAAUAGCAAGCAAAAGGGGUCUGAUGGUACUCACCACUUGGUGAUAGGCGACAGUCCCAUCUGGGUCACCAAAAUAUGUCUGGAAUUGGUUCCUUCCAGUGGGUUCUUGGUCUCACUGACUUCAAGAAUGAAGCCGCGGACCCUCGCACAUGAUUGUGAGGCCUCCCCACCCACAUGGAAUGAGUUCCCCAGCUAUCCCCCAGUGGCUUGGAGAUUCCCAUUUCAAGAGUGUAGAGUUCUACCCAGAAGGUGGCUGCGUGGACAGUGACUACAUUCUCAGCUCCAUGCCUAUUUGGGUGAGGCCCUGUGAUGAAUGGUCAUCAGUGGAAUAUGAGCAGAAGUGUUAUGUGUCAGAAGAAGACAUGCCUUCUCCAUCCUUUCUUUUCCCCUACCCUCUGGUUUGUGUUGGUUUCCAGGGUGUCCUUGGGAGGGGUUUGGGCCAUAAUUUCAAAAGACACAGUGCUAAAUACCACAAUCCCAAAUGUUGAAAUCUGGAAAGAUCAAAAUCUCUAAAGGAAGGCACACAUUUAAGAUGGCAAAGCCACUGUGCCUUUGUCCCUAAAUAAGAGUGGGGCAACUGUGCCUUUCACCACUCUGCUGUUAACCAGUUAUACACACAAUGAACUGUUACGUUAGCAAAAAAAAUGUUUCUUGUAAAGGCCACUGAAAUUGUGGAGUUUGUCUGUUACAGUAACUAGCAGUACUCUAACUAAAAUGAGCGUCUUUCAUAAUAGAGAUGAGAAUUCAGAUUUCUACUAUUCUCUGACAAAUCUCCAUAACACUUAUUUACCAAACCACUGAUUUUAAUUGUGCUGAACGGAAAUGAUCAUGGAGAGUCACUUUUCCAAUGACCUCUCUGUCCCUUGGUUUUCCAUUGUUUAAGGUGAAUGAUAAUUUCUAUCUUUUAUUUCUAUUUGUGGUAUCCAAACAAAAUCAUCAUAAAAACUCCAUUAUGGCAUAGUUAAUUGUAAAAUAAAUAUAUAUGACCAAAAAAAUUAAAAA